CUCCGUGUCGAGUGAAACCACGCAUCGUCGCAGAGGGUUGCGUUUGAUGGGAAGCAAUUGGUUCGAUUUCGAGGCAUGCUUGGACAGAGGCUGGAACCGUGUAGAGAUUUUCUCCUCAUCCUCUAGCUCUUUUCUAGUCCAAUCCAGGCCGCUCAUCAUAUUCCGAGACCAUCCUGGCCGUCGAGUCGCUCACUCAUACUUCUAGAGAUAGGUACUUUAUCCUUGCAACAAGCGAGCCUCCGCCAUGGUGAGUGUCAUCCAGCCAUUCGCUACUGCAAUCAAGCACAAGGAUUUAGCUCCAGGCAAGGUUGUCCUCUAGACUUUACUUGAAAAUCUUAUCGCCCAAAUCACCGGCAUUGCCUUUGCGCUGCAAUGCAGGAUGCACCUCCGAGUAGCGCGAGGAGAAAUGUGGCAUUGGGUGUGAUUGGGGCUUUUGUUUUGGGCGCUCUCGCGGUCGAGUGCCCGGACAACGCUGCCGCGGUUGUCACGGGAGGAUCCCGCUUCGUCAGGCCAGAAAUUCGAGAGAAACUCCGCGAAGGGAUCGAAAAGGUCAAGAAGAAACACAAGAAAAAGUAGAAACAUCCGUAAAUGUGUAUAUAUAUAUAUAUAUAUAUAUAUAUAUAUAUAUAAAUCCCAUCGCAAAAGCUUUAAAAUUUGCCAGUGAAACCACGA
RNAcentral lists this long non-coding RNA (672 nucleotides) under Selaginella moellendorffii. RNAcentral's name for it is "long non-coding RNA (SMOE_LNC000022)". The record is from RNAcentral. Lineage: Eukaryota; Viridiplantae; Streptophyta; Lycopodiopsida; Selaginellales; Selaginellaceae.